Molecule: long non-coding RNA, 595 nt
Filed under: Arabidopsis lyrata
Lineage: Eukaryota; Viridiplantae; Streptophyta; Magnoliopsida; Brassicales; Brassicaceae
Description: long non-coding RNA (ALYR_LNC000534)
Source: RNAcentral
CAAUAACACUACAGAAACAAGUAAAGAAUGUUUAUUCAUAUCUUUAUAUCACAAACUUGAAUCUAUAACUAUGUGACGAUAUAUCUCUCAAAUUGUGACAAAAACUAAACUCAUCUAAAGUGAUAAACUAAUCUGAUGCAAACUAAGAUUCACAAAAGCCUAAAUCUCAUUCAUGAGCUAAAUCUCAACCAUCAAGAACGAAACAUAUAAAGCUAUCAAAUGUUAGAUUCAGUUCAAUCAACAAGAACUAGAAACUAAAAACAGGACACUACACCCAUAAACACCCACCACCGCCUCCUCGGAAGAAGCAGAAGGUGAACACAGGAAAGCCGGUGGGGCUUUUCAUUGAAACUGUGAAAAUUUAUAAAAGUUACUAUAAAAGUCAAUACUCUCCACUAUAAAAGUCAUUGCUUUGAACUAAAACCCCACCCACCAUUAUUGUUUUCAUUACCUUGUCCACAAAAACACUAAAAAAAAACUCACGAAACUGUUACUACAACAUUACUGUAUUUUUUUUAGAUUCUGAAUACAUUCCCAAGAACUAGAAGAGAAUCAUAGUAAUCAAAUCUAACAACUGAAAAAUACAAUGACAUAU